AGAGAGAGACAUGCGCGCAUAUCAAUAAGCGGAGGAAAAGAAACUAACAUAGGAUUCCCUCUAGUAACGGCGAGUGAAGCGGGAAGAGCUCAAAUUUGAAAUCUUCAAGGUUCUACCUUGACGAAUUGUAGUUUAAAGAAGUGUUUUCUGUUGAAGUUUUGGUAAAAGUUCUUUGGAAUAGGACAUCAUAGAGGGUGAGAAUCCCGUAUUUGACCAUUAUUUUCAGCUUUGUGAUAGCACUUUCAAAGAGUCGGAUUGUUUGGGAAUGCAGUCCAAAAUGGGUGGUAAAUUUCAUCUAAAGCUAAAUAUUGGCGAGAGACCGAUAGCGAACAAGUACCGUGAGGGAAAGAUGAAAAGAACUUUGAAAAGAGAGUUAAACAGUACGUGAAAUUGUCAAAAGGGAAGCGUUUGACACCAGUGUUGUUUUCUCGAAAAUCAAUUAAAAAUGGCUCGAUUUUGUAUUGCUUGAGACCUUAAAAGCUCACUGUACAUUUUUCGUGUCUUUUUUAAUGCACUUUUCGUUUAACAAGUCAACAUCAGUUUCUUUUGUUGUAAAAGGGUCAUUGGAAGGUGGCUUUCUUUUCGGAGAAAGUGUUUAUAGCCUUUGGCCUCUGCAAUCGGAGAGACUGAGGUCUGCAGCGUAGACUCUUCGGGGUUAGAUACAUUUGUGCUAAGUUAUAGCUUUUUAUAGACAACUUGUUGACUAUAAUUAGUCUUGUAGCUUACUCGCUUAUGCUAUUUUACCUACGCUUAGGAUGUUGAAGAUGUAGCACAUCAU
RNAcentral lists this ribosomal RNA (778 nucleotides) under uncultured Neocallimastigales. RNAcentral's name for it is "partial large subunit ribosomal RNA". It matches the Rfam family "Eukaryotic large subunit ribosomal RNA", at positions 23 to 620 of the family's 3401-position model. The record is from RNAcentral. Lineage: Eukaryota; Fungi; Neocallimastigomycota; Neocallimastigomycetes; Neocallimastigales.